AUUGAACGCUGGCGGCAGGCCUAACACAUGCCAGUCGAGCGGAUGAAGGGAGCUUGCUCCUGGAUUCAGCGGCGGACGGGUGAGUAAUGCCUAGGAAUCUGCCUGGUAGUGGGGGAUAACGUCCGGAAACGGGCGCUAAUACCGCAUACGUCCUGAGGGAGAAAGUGGGGGAUCUUCGGACCUCACGCUAUCAGAUGAGCCUAGGUCGGAUUAGCUAGUUGGUGGGGUAAAGGCCUACCAAGGCGACGAUCCGUAACUGGUCUGAGAGGAUGAUCAGUCACACUGGAACUGAGACACGGUCCAGACUCCUACGGGAGGCAGCAGUGGGGAAUAUUGGACAAUGGGCGAAAGCCUGAUCCAGCCAUGCCGCGUGUGUGAAGAAGGUCUUCGGAUUGUAAAGCACUUUAAGCUGGGAGGAAGGGCAGUAAGUUAAUACCUUGCUGUUUUGACGUUACCAACAGAAUAAGCACCGGCUAACUUCGUG
This 484-nucleotide ribosomal RNA is filed under the name uncultured bacterium. RNAcentral describes it as "partial 16S ribosomal RNA". It matches the Rfam family "Bacterial small subunit ribosomal RNA", at positions 30 to 507 of the family's 1533-position model. The record is from RNAcentral.